This 487-nucleotide ribosomal RNA is filed under the name uncultured bacterium. Its description in RNAcentral is "partial 16S ribosomal RNA". It matches the Rfam family "Bacterial small subunit ribosomal RNA", at positions 28 to 507 of the family's 1533-position model. The record is from RNAcentral.
GACGAACGCUGGCGGCGUGCUUAACACAUGCAAGUCGUACGAUGACCCGGCUCUUCGGAGCUGGUGAUUAGUGGCGAACGGGUGAGUAACACGUGGGUGACCUGCCCUGCACUUUCGGAUAAGCUCGGGAAACUGGGUCUACUCCUGGAUACGAUCAGUGGUCGCGUGGUCUGCUGGUGGUCAGCCCUUCGGGGUGGUGUGGGUUGGGCCGGCGGCCUAUCAGCGUGUUGGUGGGGUGAUGCCCUACCAAGCCGACGACGGGUAGCCGGCCGGAGAGGGUGUCCGGCGACACUGAGACUGGGACACGACCCCUACGCGUACGAGCAGCAGCAGAGGGUAGACUUGGACAAUGAGCGUAAUCCUGAUGCAGCGAGUCCGCGUAGAAGAUCACGGCGUUCGAGAUGUAAACCUCUUGCGGCAAAGAGCAGGCCUGUGAGUUUUCUUCUGGGUGACGGUACCUGCAGAAGAAGCACCGGCUAACUACGUG